Molecule: ribosomal RNA, 207 nt
Filed under: uncultured bacterium
Lineage: Bacteria
Description: partial 16S ribosomal RNA
Rfam family: Bacterial small subunit ribosomal RNA
Source: RNAcentral
CGUGUAGGCGGCCUGCUAAGUCUGACGUGAAAUCCCUGGGCUUAACCUAGGGACUGCGUUUGAUACUGGUGGGCUUGAGGACGGGAGAGGAAAGUGGAACUCCGUGUGUAGCGGUGAAAUGCGUAGAUAUACGGAAGAACACCAGUGGCGAAGGCGACUUUCUGGACCGUCCCUGACGCUGAGGCGCGAAAGCCAGGGGAGCAAACG